This 273-nucleotide ribosomal RNA is filed under the name uncultured bacterium. RNAcentral's name for it is "partial 16S ribosomal RNA". It matches the Rfam family "Bacterial small subunit ribosomal RNA", at positions 523 to 796 of the family's 1533-position model. The record is from RNAcentral.
AUACGGAGGGUGCAAGCGUUACUCGGAAUCACUGGGCGUAAAGCGCGCGCAGGCGGCUAUUUAAGUUGGAUGUGAAAGCCUACGGCUCAACCGUAGAACUGCAUCCAAAACUAUUUAGCUAGAGUGUGGGAGAGGAAGAUGGAAUUAGUUGUGUAGGGGUAAAAUCCGUAGAGAUAACUAGGAAUACCAAAAGCGAAGGCAAUCUUCUGGAACACUACUGACGCUGAGGCGCGAAAGCGUGGGAGCAAACAGGAUUAGAUACCCUAGUAGUCC